This 253-nucleotide ribosomal RNA is filed under the name uncultured bacterium. Its description in RNAcentral is "partial 16S ribosomal RNA". It matches the Rfam family "Bacterial small subunit ribosomal RNA", at positions 524 to 776 of the family's 1533-position model. The record is from RNAcentral.
UACGUAGGGGGCAAGCGUUGUCCGGAUUUAUUGGGCGUAAAGCGCUCGCAGGCGGCCUGAUGCGUCGUGCGUGAAAUCCCUCGGCUCAACUGGGGGUGGUCGUGCGAUACGGUCAGGCUUGAGGCCAGUGGGGGGACGCGGAAUUCCGGGUGUAGUGGUGGAAUGCGUAGAGAUCCGGAGGAACACCAGCGGCGAAGGCGGCGUCCUGGACUGGUACUGACGCUCAGGAGCGAAAGCGUGGGGAGCGAUCCGG